CAGCCGCCGCGGGAAUACGAAGGGGGCUAGCGUUGCUCGGAAUGACUGGGCGUAAAGGGCGCGUAGGCGGUUUUCCAAGUUAGAUGUGAAAUUCCUGGGCUCAACCUGGGGACUGCAUUUGAUACUGGGAGGCUUGAGUAUGGAAGAGGGUCGUGGAAUUCCCAGUGUAGAGGUGAAAUUCGUAGAUAUUGGGAAGAACACCGGUGGCGAAGGCGGCGACCUGGUCCAUAACUGACGCUGAGGCGCGAAAGCGUGGGGAGCAAACAGGAUUAGAGACCCGCGUAGUCCCUGUCUCUUAUAC
Molecule: ribosomal RNA, 301 nt
Filed under: uncultured bacterium
Lineage: Bacteria
Description: partial 16S ribosomal RNA
Rfam family: Bacterial small subunit ribosomal RNA
Source: RNAcentral